Molecule: ribosomal RNA, 508 nt
Filed under: uncultured bacterium
Lineage: Bacteria
Description: partial 16S ribosomal RNA
Rfam family: Bacterial small subunit ribosomal RNA
Source: RNAcentral
AUUGAACGCUGGCGGCAUGCCUUACACAUGCAAGUCGAACGGCAGCGGGGGAGAAGCUUGCUUUUCCUGCCGGCGAGUGGCGAACGGGUGAGUAAUACAUCGGAACGUGCCCUGUAGUGGGGGAUAACUAGUCGAAAGAUUAGCUAAUACCGCAUACGGCCUGAGGGUGAGAGUGGGGGACCGCAAGGCCUCAUGCUAUAGGAGCGGCCGAUGUCUGAUUAGCUAGUUGGUGGGGUAAAGGCCUACCAAGGCGACGAUCAGUAGCUGGUCUGAGAGGACGAUCAGCCACACUGGGACUGGGACACGGCCCAGAAUCCUACGGGAGGCAGCAGUGGGGAAUUUUGGACAAUGGGCGAAAGCCUGAUCCAGCAAUGCCGCGUGUGUGAAGAAGGCCUUCGGGUUGUAAAGCACUUUUGUCCGGAAAGAAAUGGCUCUGGUUAAUACCUGGGUUCGAUGACGGUACCGGAAGAAUAAGGACCGGCUAACUACGUGCCAGCCGCCGCCGUAA